RNAcentral lists this ribosomal RNA (253 nucleotides) under uncultured bacterium. RNAcentral's name for it is "partial 16S ribosomal RNA". It matches the Rfam family "Bacterial small subunit ribosomal RNA", at positions 524 to 776 of the family's 1533-position model. The record is from RNAcentral.
UACGAAGGGUGCAAGCGUUACUCGGAAUCACUGGGCGUAAAGGGUGCGUAGGCGGGGCUUUAAGUCAGGGGUGAAAUCCUGGAGCUCAACUCCAGAACUGCCUUUGAUACUGAGGAUCUUGAGUUCGGGAGAGGUGAGUGGAACUGCGAGUGUAGAGGUGAAAUUCGUAGAUAUUCGCAAGAACACCAGUGGCGAAGGCGGCUCACUGGCCCGAUACUGACGCUGAGGCACGAAAGCGUGGGGAGCAAACAGG